RNAcentral lists this long non-coding RNA (524 nucleotides) under Coturnix japonica (Japanese quail). Its description in RNAcentral is "lncRNA (ENSCJPG00005018418.1)". The record is from RNAcentral. Lineage: Eukaryota; Metazoa; Chordata; Aves; Galliformes; Phasianidae.
CAAGGGUGAUGUUAAUGGGGAGAUUAGUUGAGAAAUGUACUUAGAACAUGCAAAUGAUACUUCUUAAAGUAAGACUUUGGGUAAGUUGAAUUGGAUAGCAGGGUUGAAAAGCCUCUGUAGUCAUAGUAUCAAAAAAUAAAUAUAAAAAAUAAAAAUAAAAUCACUUCCUUCAGAGUGAAAUUACAACCUUUAUUUGUUUAUCUGUCUGUAAAAAUCAAAGGAGUAUAGUACUCACAGCCCUAAUGCAAAGGGAGGACCAGGAGAGAGAGGAGACGCUGCUUUAACUCUUCAGGUGAUGUGGUAGCAUGUGGACUAAUUGGUGUUUAUUACAGGAAUUAAGGACUUUAUACAGAUCUUGGUAAACCCAUGAUUGCUGUACUGUAACUAAUACACACACAGGAAUGAACCUGCCAAGCACACCAAAAGUUUAAUUUCAUACCAACAGUUUUGGUUGCAGCUUGUUAACUUGGCCAAAAAUAUAUAUGGAGAAUGGUCUGUAUAUUCCAACAGCCCACAGUAGCUUG